UAAUAAUAAUUCAAAAUGAUUAUCAAUACCAAAAAGAACUUUCCCCCCACAUAUAUUUCGUUCUUAUGUAUUGGUCAUUUUCAUAAUCCCCUUUUAUAUGCCCGUAAAAGACUAACGUUGGAGACGACGUUCAAAUAAAGUAGUAAACCUUUAGACACUUGAGGUUUACUACUUUU
This 176-nucleotide non-coding RNA is filed under the name Staphylococcus sp. 8AQ. RNAcentral describes it as "tsr25". It matches the Rfam family "S. aureus tsr25 small RNA". Lineage: Bacteria; Bacillati; Bacillota; Bacilli; Caryophanales; Staphylococcaceae. The record is from RNAcentral.